UGGGGCGUGGCCAAGUGGUAAGGCAGCGGCUUUUGGUGUCGCCAUUCGCAGGUUCGAAUCCUGCCGCCCCAGCCA
RNAcentral lists this transfer RNA (75 nucleotides) under Alphaproteobacteria bacterium. RNAcentral describes it as "tRNA-Gln". It matches the Rfam family "tRNA". From Rfam's summary of the family: Transfer RNA (tRNA) molecules are approximately 80 nucleotides in length. Lineage: Bacteria; Pseudomonadati; Pseudomonadota; Alphaproteobacteria. RNAcentral also lists the same sequence under 3 other names. The record is from RNAcentral.